This 253-nucleotide ribosomal RNA is filed under the name uncultured bacterium. Its description in RNAcentral is "partial 16S ribosomal RNA". It matches the Rfam family "Bacterial small subunit ribosomal RNA", at positions 524 to 776 of the family's 1533-position model. The record is from RNAcentral.
UACGUAGGGGGCGAGCGUUAUCCGGAAUUACUGGGCGUAAAGCGCACGCAGGCGGUUCGCCAAGUUUGGAGUGACAGUUGUCGGCUCAACCGACAAAGGACUUCAAGAACUGGUGAACUUGAGGACGAGAGAGGAACAUGGAACUCCAGGUGUAGUAGUGAAAUGCGUAGAUAUCUGGAAGAACACCAAUGGCGAAGGCAAUGUUCUGGCUCGUUUCUGACGCUCAGGUGCGAAAGCCAGGGGAGCGAACGGG